RNAcentral lists this ribosomal RNA (301 nucleotides) under uncultured bacterium. Its description in RNAcentral is "partial 16S ribosomal RNA". It matches the Rfam family "Bacterial small subunit ribosomal RNA", at positions 509 to 809 of the family's 1533-position model. The record is from RNAcentral.
CAGUAGCCGCGGGAAUACGUAGGUGGCAAGCGUUGUCCGGAAUUAUUGGGCGGAAAGGGCUCGCAGGCGGUUUCUUAAGUCUGAUGUGAAAGCCCCCGGCUCAACCGGGGAGGGUCAUUGGAAACUACCAAGCUGGAGUACGGUAGGGGUAGAGGGAAUUCCCGGUGGAGCGGUGAAGUGCGUUGAGAUCGGAAAGAACACCAACGACGAAAGCACUCUGCUGGGCCGACACUGAUACUGAGAGACGAAAGCUAGGGGAGCAAAUGGGAUUAGAUACCCCUGUAGUCCCUGUCUCUUAUAA